AGUUCAUUGUGCGAAAGCAACGUGCAUCGUGUUCAAAAACAAAGUGCACCGUGGAGUUUAAUCAACGAUCAGUCACAAUGACUGGAGGGCCUCUCGGCAGGAAUGCUUAUCCUAGAAGUUGUCCGCAUGCCGAUAGCAAUAAGCCGCGGUCGGCUGCAGACUACGAUCAGCUGGUGUCUGCCGAAAUUCCGGAUCCGGCAAACGAACAGCCGUCAGUAAUUGCAUGAUGGACGGUCCAUGCGGUCAGUCGCCCAUCCACCCUGGAAUGAAGAAGAUGGAGCCUGUUCGAAUAGGUUUCCAAGGCAGUUUUGUAAGGAAACACGGCAGACGCAUGAUAGAUACCCGAUGUACCAGCGGCGUAAUGAUGAUCGCACUGUAACGAUCCGAGCUGCGCUAAUCCUUGGCGAAACUUAUGCGAGAAACAAGUAUCAUCGUAAGAGAUGGAGCAUCCCGAGAAACAGGAUACUCUACAACUGCACCUGAAUGACCGGAUUCAUCAGGAAACGCCUUUACACGGUGAUAGUCUAUAUUACAUUCUUCAUCUGCCCAGGAUCAGAUUGCUGAUUGCCAAGAAUACGGACGGAUAGGAUGUGUAGCACUGCUC
Molecule: long non-coding RNA, 604 nt
Organism: Anopheles aquasalis
Lineage: Eukaryota; Metazoa; Arthropoda; Insecta; Diptera; Culicidae
Source: RefSeq, a predicted model, not a curated record